This 607-nucleotide long non-coding RNA is filed under the name Marmota monax (woodchuck). Lineage: Eukaryota; Metazoa; Chordata; Mammalia; Rodentia; Sciuridae. The record is from RNAcentral.
GUAGAAGCUUGCCCUACCAGGGUGGCCCACGGGUGUGGAUGUAAACAGUUAAUGAAUAAUGGCAGCGUCUGGGGAGCAGGGAGAGGGGAAUCAGAGGGCCAGCAGCCCUUGGUAAGUGAAGCUCUCCUCCUCUUCCUUCCUCUGGGCCAGCUCUGAGUGGCACAUCUGGCAACGUGGAGGACACCUGGUACCUGGAGAAGGAAGGAUCCAAACACUGCCUGGCCAGGAAAAUGGAGGCCCAGCAGAGACCUCCCAUUGAGGAUGAGGAAGCUGACGAAAGCAAGCAGGAAAUAGGUCCCUGUGUACCCACUGGACCAGCCCGGGGCUCCCUUCAAGGACUGGCGGGAAGAACAUCAGCAUUUACCUGGCCACAGAGGCUCACCUACCUCUGUCUUCCCUUCUGAUCCUCGCCCUUUAAUCCCAUUUCGUAUAAACUCACACUGGGAGGUAGAGCCCACAUGGACGCGGGGUUGACUGACCCACGAGCCAGUUAGGCCUUGUGUGUUCCUGUGUUUGGCAGGAGGUGGCUACGGGGACGGCAAGAGAGAAGGCUGCACAGAGGACACAUCCUCCUUAGGGGCGGCCACUGUGGGGAGGAGCAGGGCCG